This 301-nucleotide ribosomal RNA is filed under the name uncultured bacterium. RNAcentral's name for it is "partial 16S ribosomal RNA". It matches the Rfam family "Bacterial small subunit ribosomal RNA", at positions 509 to 809 of the family's 1533-position model. The record is from RNAcentral.
CAGCCGCCGCGGGAAUACGUAGGGUGCAAGCGUUAAUCGGAAUUACUGGGCGUAAAGCGUGCGCAGGCGGUUUUGUAAGACAGAGGUGAAAUCCCCGGGCUAAACCUGGGAACUGCCUUUGUGACUGCAAGGCUAGAGUACGGCAGAGGGGGAUGGAAUUCCGCGUGUAGCAGUGAAAUGCGUAGAUAUGCGGAGGAACACCGAUGGCGAAGGCAAUCCCCUGGGCCUGUACUGACGCUCAUGCACGAAAGCGUGGGGAGCAAACAGGAUUAGAUACCCCUGUAGUCCCUGUCUCUUAUCC